AUGGGAGGUGAGGGCAUGGGAGGUGAGGGCUUGGAGAUACUGAAUGCAGGCAACUCUUUAAGGAAAACUGGUUGUGAAGAGAUUUGGGGGGUGGUUGGGCAGAAGGGGUGCAGUGAUUGGAGAAGCUGGGCUUACGGGAGAGGCUGCUUGUGUGAUUCUUCAGGAUGUUUAACCAGAGAUGGGAAGGAAGGGGUAGAAAAGAGAAGCAGAAGGGUGCCUUUCACCCUUUCCCAAAUGCAGCCACAGUCAGACCUACGUUUCCUGCCGGACCCGGACCCGGGAUACCUACACACAUGGACACACACACACCACACACACACACACACACGAAACCAGGUUCCUGACGCUGGAUGUGACACCCUGAUAUUUUGUCUCCUGUUUUACUUAGGUCAACCGCUGGUCACAACACCCCAAACUGGAUUUGUGUCUCUUGAACACUUCACGAUGGUCCAUUUGACAAACGUGGAGCCUAAGAUGAAAGAGUUGGGAGCACAGUCUUCAUUUUCCACAGCUCAGAGAGGCAAACCAAGUUAUCCAAGCCACACAGCACAUCAGCAGAGCAGCCGGGAUGGGUUGGGCAGCAGUUUCCCACUCCCAGGGCCCAGUGCCCCUGCUCUCCACUCAGCAGUGUCCCCACAGUCCUUGACUUAGGUAGGAUGGUGGGGGUGGUGCCUGGAUUGCAGCUUUCUGAAGAGAAGUCUUGCCACACUUUUCUUUUCUUAUUUCCCUGGAGUGGAGCAAACAGAAUGUCUGUGGCCUCGGAAAGAAGUGGGUCCAUCAGGCCGAGGAGUACCAGUUGUAGACAUUGCCUGUCUGUGAGCAUGUCUGCUGUCCAUGGAAGGCAAGUGUAUGUUCGGGACCCAGUCCGCCCUAGCUCCCACACACAGAUAGCAGACAGGGUGCGGGAAGUAGGGAAUUCGUAUCUGUUGAAGUGUGUGUGAGUGCAAGUGCAUACGCAAAGAUAUCAAGAGGCACAGAUGCGUGUGCCAACACUAACAUACAAGCCCUCAUUCAGACUCACAUAAAUGUCCCAUCACAGGUAUAGGCACACCCACGAAUAGACUCCUAUUUAUAUCUAUAUGCUUACCCAUUUAUACUUGUGCACACCUCCAAAAAGACCUACACAUUUUAUUAUUUAUUUAUUUAUUUAUUUAUUUUUCAAAAUAUGAAAUUUAUUGUCAAAUUGGUUUCCAUACAACACCCAGUGCUCAUCCCAAAAGGUGCCCUUUUCAAUGCCCAUCACCUACCCUCCCCUCCCUCCCACCCCCCAUCAACCCUCAGUUUGUUCUCAGUUUUUAAGAGUCUCUUAUGCUUUGGCUCUCUUCCACUCUAACCUCUUUUUUUUUUUUUUUUUCCUUCCCCUCCCCCAUGGGUUUCUGUUAAGUUUCUCAGGAUCCACAUAAGAGUGAAAACAUACGGUAUCUAAGACCUACACAUUUUAAACAAGCAUAAAGCAUCCACGUACGGGUACAUAUUUUGGGUCAUAAUAAAAUCUGCAUACAUUAAGUGUUUACUCUUAUG
RNAcentral lists this long non-coding RNA (1521 nucleotides) under Felis catus (domestic cat). RNAcentral's name for it is "lncRNA (ENSFCAG00000043420.2)". Lineage: Eukaryota; Metazoa; Chordata; Mammalia; Carnivora; Felidae. The record is from RNAcentral.